CGGUCCGCAGUUCACCGAGUCGCUGUCGUUUCCACAUGGAAAUACGCUGAACCUGUUU
Celeribacter baekdonensis B30 is the source of this 58-nucleotide regulatory RNA element. It matches the Rfam family "COG3860 RNA". The record is from Rfam. Lineage: Bacteria; Pseudomonadati; Pseudomonadota; Alphaproteobacteria; Rhodobacterales; Roseobacteraceae.